AUAUAUUUAUUUAAAUAAUAAUAUUAAAUUGCAAAUUUAAAGUUAAUUAAAAUAUUAGUAUAUA
Molecule: transfer RNA, 64 nt
Filed under: Dinocampus coccinellae
Lineage: Eukaryota; Metazoa; Arthropoda; Insecta; Hymenoptera; Braconidae
Description: tRNA-Cys
Source: RNAcentral